GGAGCUCGUGGCCGACCGGGCGACGCGCGAGCCCGUGGCGCCCGCGGUCGUCGCCCGGGCGAAGGGCGAGCUCGCCGCGCGCGGGCUGCUC
RNAcentral lists this transfer RNA (91 nucleotides) under Agromyces rhizosphaerae. Its description in RNAcentral is "tRNA-His". Lineage: Bacteria; Bacillati; Actinomycetota; Actinomycetes; Micrococcales; Microbacteriaceae. The record is from RNAcentral.